GAGAGACGCUGGCGGCGUGGAUUAGGCAUGCAAGUCGAACGGUAGGAUACCUUCGGGUAUCUGAGAGUGGCGAACGGGUGAGUAACACGUAGGUGAUCUACCCUCAAGAUUGGGACAACCCAGGGAAACUUGGGCUAAUACCGGAUGAAAGCAGCAGUGAUGUUGUUUGAAAGGUGGCGUAAGCUGCCGUUUGGGGAUGAGCCUGCGCUCUAUUAGUUAGUUGGCGGGGUAAAGGCCCACCAAGGCGAUGAUAGAUAGGCGGCCUUAACGGGUGGUCGCCCACACUGGGAUUGAGAUACGGCCCAGACUCCUACGGGAGGCAGCAGUCGAGAAUAGUCUACAAUGGCCGAAAGGCUGAUAGUGCGACGCCGCGUGAACGAAGAAGCCCUUCGGGGUGUAAAGUUCUUUUAUAUGUGAGCAGUGCUUUCUAUGCGAACAGCAUGGGGAGAGAGAUAUUAGCAUAUGAAUAAGCAACGGCUAACUCCGUG
This 488-nucleotide ribosomal RNA is filed under the name uncultured bacterium. RNAcentral's name for it is "bacterial SSU rRNA". It matches the Rfam family "Bacterial small subunit ribosomal RNA", at positions 33 to 507 of the family's 1533-position model. The record is from RNAcentral.